GACGAACGCUGGCGGCGUGCUUAACACAUGCAAGUCGAACGGAAAGGCCCUGCUUUUGUGGGGUGCUCGAGUGGCGAACGGGUGAGUAACACGUGAGUAACCUGCCCUUGACUUUGUGAUAACUUCAGGAAACUGGGGCUAAUACCGGAUAGGAGCUCCUGCUGCAUGGUGGGGGUAGGAAAGUUUCGGCGGUUGGGGAUGGACUCGCGGCUUAUCAGCUUGUUGGUGGGGUAGUGGCUUACCAAGGCUUUGACGGGUAGCCGGCCUGAGAGGGUGACCGGCCACAUUGGGACUGCGAUACGGCCCAGACUCGUACGGGAGGCAGCAGUGGGGAGUAUUGCACAGUGGGCGGAAGCGUGAUGCAGCGACGCCGCGUGCGGGAUGCCGGCCUUCGGGUUGUAAACCGCUUUCGCCUGUGACGAAGAGUGAGUGACGGUAAUGGGUAAAGAAGCACCGGCUAACUACGUG
RNAcentral lists this ribosomal RNA (468 nucleotides) under uncultured bacterium. RNAcentral's name for it is "partial 16S ribosomal RNA". It matches the Rfam family "Bacterial small subunit ribosomal RNA", at positions 28 to 507 of the family's 1533-position model. The record is from RNAcentral.